GGACUACCCGGGUAUCUAAUCCUGUUCGAUCCCCGCACCUUCGUGCCUCAGCGUCAGUUGCACCUUAGUCAGCUGCCUUCGCUAUCGGUGUUCUGUGGCAUAUCUAUGCAUUUCACCGCUACUUGCCACAUUCCGCCAACUUCAUCUGCACUCAAGUCUUCCAGUAUCAACGGCGCUUUCUCUGUUAAGCAGAAACAUUUCACCGCUGACUUAAAAAACCGCCUACGCACCCUUUAAACCCAAUAAAUCCGGAUAACGCUCGAAUCCUCCGUAUUACCGCGGCUGCUGGCAC
This 292-nucleotide ribosomal RNA is filed under the name uncultured bacterium. RNAcentral describes it as "partial 16S ribosomal RNA". RNAcentral also lists the same sequence under 1 other name. The record is from RNAcentral.